UCUCAUCAAAUUUGCAAAUUUUUAAUUAGUGCUUCUUCAAGUAUUAUUUCUGCUAUUCCUUUUUACACUUUUGGGGACUCUAAUUAUGUUAUGUUAAUGUCUUUGAAGUUGUCUCACAGCUUGCUGAUACUAUGUUCUUUUUUUGUUUUGUCUUGUUUUCCUCUGCAUGUUCCAGUUUAAAUUGUUUCUAUUUUUAUGUUUUCAAGUUCACAAAUCAUGUCUUUUGCAAACUCUGUUACUAAUCCCAUCCAUCUUUGUCAAAAUUGGAAGCCCUCCUUGACAUGAGAAUAGGCAGAAGAAAACUAAAAAAAAAAAUAUAGCUUAAUUUUUCUUUUCUUGAUCUGGAAGAAUUUUUUGGUGGCUAGAAAAUAAAGCUAAAAACCAUACAGGGAAGCCUUUAUAGAUUGAAAUAUUUUUUUAAAAAUUACAUUUCUAUGAUAUCUUGAAAAGAUCAUAAAUAGAGGAACCGGGUGUGGUAGCACAUGCCUGUAAUCCCAGUGGCUUGGGAGGCUGAGGCAGGAGGAUUGUAAGUUCAAAGCUAGCCUCAGCAAUUUAGCGAGAACAUGUCUCAAAAAAAUUUUUUUUUUUUGUACCAGGGAGUGAAUUCAGGGGCAUUCGACCACUGAGCCACAUACCCAGCCCUUUUAUUUUAUUUUAUUUUUUUAAUAUUUUUUGUUUUUGUUUUUGGC
RNAcentral lists this long non-coding RNA (689 nucleotides) under Marmota monax (woodchuck). The record is from RNAcentral. Lineage: Eukaryota; Metazoa; Chordata; Mammalia; Rodentia; Sciuridae.